This 1423-nucleotide ribosomal RNA is filed under the name uncultured organism. Its description in RNAcentral is "16S ribosomal RNA". It matches the Rfam family "Bacterial small subunit ribosomal RNA". The record is from RNAcentral.
CGCUAGCGACAGGCUUAACACAUGCAAGUCGAGCCUUAGCACAGGUAGCAAUACCGGGUGGCGACCGGCGCACGGGUGAGUAACGCGUAUGCAACUUGCCUAUCAGAGGGGGAUAACCCGGCGAAAGUCGGACUAAUACCGCAUGAAGCAGGGAUCCCGCAUGGGAAUAUUUGCUAAAGAUUCAUCGCUGAUAGAUAGGCAUGCGUUCCAUUAGGCAGUUGGCGGGGUAACGGCCCACCAAACCGACGAUGGAUAGGGGUUCUGAGAGGAAGGUCCCCCACAUUGGUACUGAGACACGGACCAAACUCCUACGGGAGGCAGCAGUGAGGAAUAUUGGUCAAUGGCCGAGAGGCUGAACCAGCCAAGUCGCGUGAGGGAUGAAGGUUCUAUGGAUCGUAAACCUCUUUUAUAAGGGAAUAAAGUGCGGGACGUGUCCCGUUUUGUAUGUACCUUAUGAAUAAGGAUCGGCUAACUCCGUGCCAGCAGCCGCGGUAAUACGGAGGAUCCGAGCGUUAUCCGGAUUUAUUGGGUUUAAAGGGUGCGUAGGCGGCCUUUUAAGUCAGCGGUGAAAGUCUGUGGCUCAACCAUAGAAUUGCCGUUGAAACUGGGGGGCUUGAGUAUGUUUGAGGCAGGCGGAAUGCGUGGUGUAGCGGUGAAAUGCAUAGAUAUCACGCAGAACCCCGAUUGCGAAGGCAGCCUGCCAAGCCAUGACUGACGCUGAUGCACGGAAGCGUGGGGAUCAAACAGGAUUAGAUACCCUGGUAGUCCACGCAGUAAACGAUGAUCACUAGCUGUUUGCGAUACACUGUAAGCGGCACAGCGAAAGCGUUAAGUGAUCCACCUGGGGAGUACGCCGGCAACGGUGAAACUCAAAGGAAUUGACGGGGGCCCGCACAAGCGGAGGAACAUGUGGUUUAAUUCGAUGAUACGCGAGGAACCUUACCCGGGUUUGAACGCAUUCGGACCGAGGUGGAAACACCUUUUCUAGCAAUAGCCGUUUGCGAGGUGCUGCAUGGUUGUCGUCAGCUCGUGCCGUGAGGUGUCGGCUUAAGUGCCAUAACGAGCGCAACCCUUGCCACUAGUUACUAACAGGUAAAGCUGAGGACUCUGGUGGGACUGCCAGCGUAAGCUGCGAGGAAGGCGGGGAUGACGUCAAAUCAGCACGGCCCUUACAUCCGGGGCGACACACGUGUUACAAUGGCGUGGACAAAGGGAAGCCACCUGGCGACAGGGAGCGAAUCCCCAAACCACGUCUCAGUUCGGAUCGGAGUCUGCAACCCGACUCCGUGAAGCUGGAUUCGCUAGUAAUCGCGCAUCAGCCAUGGCGCGGUGAAUACGUUCCCGGGCCUUGUACACACCGCCCGUCAAGCCAUGGGAGCCGGGGGUACCUGAAGUCCGUAACCGCGAGGAUCGGCCUAGGGUA